GAUGAAGAACGCAGCGAAAUGCGAUACGUAAUGUGAAUUGCAGAAUUCAGUGAAUCAUCGAAUCUUUGAACGCAUAUUGCGCUCUCUGGUAUUCCGGAGAGCAUGCUUGUUUGAGUAUCAGUAAACACCUCAACUUCCAUAUCUUUUUUGAAAUGGGAGUUGGACUUGAGUGAUCCCAACGCUUUUCCUCACCGAAAAGUGGCGGGUUACUUGAAAUGCAGGUGCAGCUGGACUUUUCUCUGAGCUAUAAGCAUAUCUAUUUAGUCUGCCUAAAAAACAGAUUAUUACCUUUGCUGCAGCUAACAUAAAGGAGAUUAGUUCUUGUGCUGACUGAUGCAGGAUUCACAAAGACAGGCUUCGGCCGACUUUGUAAACUCGAUCUCAAAUCAAGUAAGACUACCCGCUGAACUUAAGCUUAUCAAUAAGCGGAGGA
RNAcentral lists this unclassified non-coding RNA (433 nucleotides) under soil metagenome. RNAcentral describes it as "partial contains 5.8S ribosomal RNA, internal transcribed spacer 2, and large subunit ribosomal RNA". The stretch from base 1 to 120 matches the Rfam family "5.8S ribosomal RNA", at positions 35 to 154 of the family's 154-position model. The record is from RNAcentral.